AGGAAUAUUGGUCAAUGGACGAGAGUCUGAACCAGCCAAGUAGCGUGCAGGAAGACGGCCCUAUGGGUUGUAAACUGCUUUUAUAAGGGAAUAAAGUGAGUCUCGUGAGACUUUUUGCAUGUACCUUAUGAAUAAGGACCGGCUAAUUCCGUGCCAGCAGCCGCGGUAAUACGGAAGGUCCGGGCGUUAUCCGGAUUUAUUGGGUUUAAAGGGAGCGUAGGCCGGAGAUUAAGCGUGUUGUGAAAUGUAGACGCUCAACGUCUGCACUGCAGCGCGAACUGGUUUCCUUGAGUACGCACAAAGUGGGCGGAAUUCGUGGUGUAGCGGUGAAAUGCUUAGAUAUCACGAAGAACUCCGAUUGCGAAGGCAGCUCACUGGAGCGCAACUGACGCUGAAGCUCGAAAGUGCGGGUAUCGAACAGGAUUAGAUACCCUGGUAGUCCGCACGGUAAACGAUGGAUGCCCGCUGUUGGUCUGAAUAGGUCAGCGGCCAAGCGAAAGCAUUAAGCAUCCCACCUGGGGAGUACGCCGGCAACGGUGAAACUCAAAGGAAUUGACGGGGGCCCGCACAAGCGGAGGAACAUGUGGUUUAAUUCGAUGAUACGCGAGGAACCUUACCCGGGCUUGAAUUGCAGAGGAAGGAUUUGGAGACAAUGACGCCCUUCGGGGUCUCUGUGAAGGUGCUGCAUGGUUGUCGUCAGCUCGUGCCGUGAGGUGUCGGCUUAAGUGCCAUAACGAGCGCAACCCCUCUCCUUAGUUGCCAUCAGGUUAAGCUGGGCACUCUGGGGACACUGCCACCGUAAGGUGUGAGGAAGGUGGGGAUGACGUCAAAUCAGCACGGCCCUUACGUCCGGGGCUACACACGUGUUACAAUGGCAGGUACAGAGAGACGGUCCUUUGCAAAACGGAUCAAAUCCUUAAAGCCUGUCUCAGUUCGGACUGGGGUCUGCAACCCGACCCCACGAAGCUGGAUUCGCUAGUAAUCGCGCAUCAGCCAUGGCGCGGUGAAUACGUUCCCG
This 1018-nucleotide ribosomal RNA is filed under the name uncultured bacterium. RNAcentral's name for it is "bacterial SSU rRNA". It matches the Rfam family "Bacterial small subunit ribosomal RNA", at positions 357 to 1376 of the family's 1533-position model. The record is from RNAcentral.